This 349-nucleotide ribosomal RNA is filed under the name uncultured bacterium. Its description in RNAcentral is "bacterial SSU rRNA". It matches the Rfam family "Bacterial small subunit ribosomal RNA", at positions 28 to 381 of the family's 1533-position model. The record is from RNAcentral.
GACGAACGCUGGCGGCAGGCCUAAUACAUGCAAGUCGAACGGUAACAUAAAAGAAGCUUGCUUCUUUUGAUGACGAGUGGCGGACGGGUGAGUAAUAUUUGGGAAACUACCUGAUAGAGGGGGACAACAGUUGGAAACGACUGCUAAUACCGCAUAAAGCCUGAGGGUGAAAGCAGCAAUGCGCUAUCAGAUGUGCCCAAACGGGAUUAGCUAGUAGGUGAGGUAAAGGCUCACCUAGGCGACGAUCUCUAGCUGGUCUGAGAGGAUGAUCAGCCACAUUGGGACUGAGAUACGGCCCAGACUCCUACGGGAGGCAGCAGUGGGGAAUAUUGGGCAAUGGGGGGGAAAA